RNAcentral lists this ribosomal RNA (463 nucleotides) under uncultured bacterium. RNAcentral describes it as "partial 16S ribosomal RNA". It matches the Rfam family "Bacterial small subunit ribosomal RNA", at positions 28 to 507 of the family's 1533-position model. The record is from RNAcentral.
GAUGAACGCUGACAGAAUGCUUAACACAUGCAAGUCGAUGGGGAAGUGGUGCUUGCACCAUGGCAACCAUGGCGGACGGGUGAGUAACGCGUAAGGGACUUACCUGCAGGACUGGGAUAACAGGGGGAAACUCCUGACAAGACCGGAUAAUGUCAUGGAGCUGCAUGGCUUUAUGAUGAAAGGAGACGCCUGCGGAGAGCCUUGCGUCCUAUUAGCUAGUUGGUGAGGUAAUGGCUCACCAAGGCGAAGAUAGGUAGCCGGCCUGAGAGGGUGGACGGCCACAAGGGGACUGAGAUACGGCCCUUACUCCUACGGGAGGCGGCAGUGGGGAAUAUUGGACAAUGGGGGCAACCCUGAUCCAGCAAUUCUGUGUGCACGAAGAAGGUUUUCGGAGUGUAAAGUGCUUUCAGCAGGGAAGAAGUAAGUGACGGUACCUGCAGAAGAAGCGACGGCUAAAUACGUG